This 840-nucleotide ribosomal RNA is filed under the name uncultured Gammaproteobacteria bacterium. RNAcentral describes it as "bacterial SSU rRNA". It matches the Rfam family "Bacterial small subunit ribosomal RNA", at positions 54 to 873 of the family's 1533-position model. The record is from RNAcentral. Lineage: Bacteria; Pseudomonadati; Pseudomonadota; Gammaproteobacteria.
CAUGCAAGUCGAGCGGUAACAGACAUAAAGAUUCAGCUUGCUGAAUCCGGUGCUGACGAGCGGCGAACGGGUGAGUAACGCGUAGGAAUCUACCCAGUAGCGGGGGAUAGCCCGAGGAAACUCGGAUUAAUACCGCAUACGCCCUGAGGGGGAAAGGGGGCAGUUUACUGCUCUCACUAUUGGAUGAGCCUGCGUAAGAUUAGCUUGUUGGUAGGGUAAUGGCCUACCAAGGCGACGAUCUUUAGCUGGUCUGAGAGGACGAUCAGCCACAUUGGGACUGAGACACGGCCCAGACAUCUACGGAUGGCAGCAGUUAAGAAUAUUGGACAAUGGGGGCAACCCUGAUCCAGGUAUACCGCGUGUGUGAAGAAGGCCCUAGGGUUGUAAAGCACUUUAAUCAGAGAAGAAGCAUUUUAAGUUAAUACCUUAUUAUGUUGACGUUACCUGAAGAAUAAGGACCGGCUAACUCCGUGCCAGCAGCCGCGGUAAUACGGAGGGUCCAAGCGUUAAUCGGAAUUACUGGGCGUAAAGCGCGCGUAGGCGGUUUAGCAAGUUGUAUGUGAAAGCCCUGGGCUCAACCUAGGAACUGCAUCCAAAACUACUAAACUAGAGUACGAGAGAGGAGAGUAGAAUUUCUGGUGUAGCGGUGAAAUGCGUAGAUAUCAGAAGGAAUACCAAUGGCGAAGGCAGCUCUCUGGCUCGUCACUGACGCUGAGGUGCGAAAGCGUGGGUAGCAAACAGGAUUAGAUACCCUGGUAGUCCACGCCGUAAACGAUGACAACUAGCCGUUGGGCAGAUUUAACUGUUCAGUGGCACAGCUAACGCAUUAAGUUGUCCGCC